GCCAAUAUGACUGAACUCCAGUUUUUGUAGUUACUGCUGCCACUGCCGCCGCCGCUGGGGCUGCUGGUACUAGUGCCGCUGAGGAAUGAUUCUUCACACCACCACUGGCAACAGAACUUCUGCCCUUUAAGCAGAGCAGUGCUCAAGGAAUGUUUACAGCUAAGGAGACUCCACAGAGGAUUGCCUGAAGGACAUGAAGUCCAUUCAUCUCUUCAGAUAGUUUAGAUUACAACUCAGGAUCAAGGUAACCCAUCCAAACUAAACACUUGACCCA
Molecule: long non-coding RNA, 274 nt
Filed under: Chinchilla lanigera (long-tailed chinchilla)
Lineage: Eukaryota; Metazoa; Chordata; Mammalia; Rodentia; Chinchillidae
Description: lncRNA (ENSCLAG00000026453.1)
Source: RNAcentral